CAAAAACCUGAGUACCAUAAAUAUGAAGAAACAACAAAAUCUGCCUCUGAAGCGAAUCUUAUAGCUUUACAAAAUAAAACAAAAAGAUUUGCUUCAGUUGUAGGAUUUCAAUACUUUGUUUCCCCAAGCCCCUGGUUUGUCCAGCUGCAGAUUGAAUUUGGAAGGAGAGAAAUGUUGACAGGAAAAUUUGGUUUGACAAAAGUCAAAAUCGAUCAGUGAUUUUUU
This is a long non-coding RNA of Tribolium castaneum (red flour beetle), 225 nucleotides long. RefSeq lists it as uncharacterized. NCBI's taxonomy places the organism in Eukaryota, Metazoa, Arthropoda, Insecta, Coleoptera, Tenebrionidae. The transcript has 2 exons. The record is from RefSeq and is a predicted model, not a curated record.